UCGUGCAUUGGUGAGCUGUAGAGGCUUUAGCGGCGCUUCCUGUAAACGCCGCAAUAUAUCGAGAAUUCACGGUGUUUUUUAUAAAAUGCCACAAUAGGUGAAGCAUUAGCGGCGGUUGUCUAAAACGCCAUAAAAGUUUUGAGAAAUACGACGUCGUGCAUUGGUGAGCUGUAGAGGCUUUAGCGGCUUUAACGGCGCUUCCUG
RNAcentral lists this long non-coding RNA (204 nucleotides) under Gossypium barbadense (sea-island cotton). RNAcentral describes it as "long non-coding RNA (GBAR_LNC002469)". Lineage: Eukaryota; Viridiplantae; Streptophyta; Magnoliopsida; Malvales; Malvaceae. The record is from RNAcentral.